GACGAACGCUGGCGGCGUGCCUAAUACAUGCAAGUAGAACGCUGAAGGAGGAGCUUGCUUCUCUGGAUGAGUUGCGAACGGGUGAGUAACGCGUAGGUAACCUGCCUGGUAGCGGGGGAUAACUAUUGGAAACGAUAGCUAAUACCGCAUAAUAGUAGAUGUUGCAUGACAUUUGCUUAAAAGGUGCAAUUGCAUCACUACUAGAUGGACCUCCGUUGUAUUAGCUAGUUGGUGGGGUAACGGCUCACCAAGGCGACGAUACAUAGGCGACCUGGGAGGGGGGACGGCCCCACUGGGACUGGGACCCCGCCCAGACUCCUACGGGGAGGAGCAGUAGGGGAACUUCGGGAAUGGGCGGAAGUCUGACCGGACAACGCCGCGUGAGUGGAGAAGGUUUUCGGAUCGUAAAGCUCUGUUGUAAGGGAAGAACGAGUGUGGGAGUGAAAAGUUCACACUGUGACGGUAUCUUACCAGAAAGCGACGGCUAACUACGUG
Molecule: ribosomal RNA, 495 nt
Filed under: uncultured bacterium
Lineage: Bacteria
Description: partial 16S ribosomal RNA
Rfam family: Bacterial small subunit ribosomal RNA
Source: RNAcentral